ACUAGGAUUAAGGAGGAUCAGGAAGGUUUCUCACGGAAGGAGAGACGUUAGCUGGCAAAUGAAGGAAACCAGGGAAGUAAGAGGCAGAGUGGAAGAAGGAGGGUGUUCCAAUCACAGGGGAGCAUCAGAAGAUGGAAGAGUGAGGCAGCGUGCCAUGUCACUGACAAAAGAUUACGUGCUGGAGUCGAGGGUGGUGGCAUAUUGUAGAGCUGCCAGAGUCAAUUCUGAGCCAAGCCCCGGAAUGUCUGCGGUCUCAGCGAGUCAACAAGCAAUGAAAUUGGAUUCACUUUUUCCGGAGUGAUGCUGGCUACAUCAUACCUACACUCUGGAAGGGAGGAGACCCGUCCAAAAGCAAAUACCGUCCAUUAGUGAGAGGCCCUGGAAGGAAUUCAUUCCUAGACAAUCAUUGACCUGCCUCCCAGCAGUGACAGGCACCUGCCACCCAGGACCAGCCGAGAAAGGAAUCUCCAGGGGCCUGCAAUACUUCCCACAUCACCCUGAUUCCGUAAGGCCAGCAGAGCAAGACAUAAUUUUUAAAAAUAAAGGAGCUGAAAUGUGCGUUGACACUGGAUUUAAAAGACCAAAUGCACUCCACAUAGUCCUCAUAAGAUCUAUCAUAGGAGUACGAGGGGAAGUUGGGUGGUACUUCAGUAUCCUCAUCUGGUAAAUGGGGCUAAUAAUAGCCCCUGCCUCCCAAGGUUGUUUUAAGGAUCAAACGAAAUGAUCUUUCUAAAGCACCUCGCAUAUCUUAAAGGUCUUUAUAAAUGCCAUUAGCUAUUAUGAUUAGCAAUAAAAG
Molecule: non-coding RNA, 796 nt
Organism: Phascolarctos cinereus (koala)
Lineage: Eukaryota; Metazoa; Chordata; Mammalia; Diprotodontia; Phascolarctidae
Source: RefSeq, a predicted model, not a curated record